Molecule: ribosomal RNA, 2817 nt
Filed under: Clostridioides difficile
Lineage: Bacteria; Bacillati; Bacillota; Clostridia; Peptostreptococcales; Peptostreptococcaceae
Description: bacterial LSU rRNA
Rfam family: Bacterial large subunit ribosomal RNA
Source: RNAcentral
AGGGUGCAGGGCGGAUGCCUUGGCACUAGGAGCCGAUGAAGGACGUGAUAAGCUGCGAUAAGCUUCGGGGAGUUGCACGUAAACUUUGAUCCGAAGAUUUCCGAAUGAGGAAACUCACUUAGAGUAAUGUCUAAGUAUCAUUAAGUGAAUACAUAGCUUAAUGAGGGGAACUCAGGGAACUGAAACAUCUAAGUACCUGAAGGAAGAGAAAGAAAUUCGAUUCCGUAAGUAGCGGCGAGCGAACGCGGAUUAGCCCAAACCAAUAAAGUUUUCUUUAUUGGGGUUGCGGACAUAUCAUAACGAAGAGGUAUCGUAAUUGAAGAGGUUUGGAAAGACCCACCACAGAAGGUAAUAGUCCUGUAUGUUAAACGAGAAGACUUCAGAUAUGAUCCAGAGUACCACGGGACACGUGAAACCCUGUGGGAAGCAGGAGGGACCACCCUCCAAGGCUAAAUACUACCUAGUGACCGAUAGCGUAUAGUACCGUGAGGGAAAGGUGAAAAGAACCCCGGGAGGGGAGUGAAAUAGAACCUGAAACCCUGCACUUACAAGCUGUGGAAGCACAUUUCUUGUGUGACCGCGUACUUUUUGUAGAACGGGCCAACGAGUUACGUUAAGUAGCAAGGUUAAGCACUUAAGGUGCGGAGCCGUAGCGAAAGCGAGUUUUAACUGAGCGUUCAGUUACUUGACGUAGACCCGAAACCGGGCGACCUACCCAUGAGCAGGAUGAAGCGAAAGUAAAAUUUCGUGGAGGUCCGAACCCACGAGCGUUGAAAAGCUCGGGGAUGACUUGUGGGUAGCGGUGAAAUUCCAAUCGAGCCCGGAGAUAGCUGGUUCUCCCCGAAAUAGCUUUAGGGCUAGCCUCAAGGUGAGAGAUACGGAGGUAGAGCACUGAAUGUCCUAGGGGGUAUUGCACCUACCGAAGACUAUCAAACUCCGAAUGCCGUCAUCUUAUACUUGGGAGUCAGACUGUGGGUGAUAAGAUUCAUAGUCGAAAGGGCAACAGCCCAGAUCGUCAGCUAAGGUCCCUAAAUGUAAGUUAAGUGGUAAAGGAUGUGGGAUUGCACAGACAACCAGGAUGUUGGCUUAGAAGCAGCCACUCAUUCAAAGAGUGCGUAAUAGCUCACUGGUCGAGUGAUCCUGCGCCGAAGAUUUCCGGGGCUAAAACUUACUACCGAAGCUACGGCAUCAGUAAUGAUGGGUAGGGGAGCUUCCCAUACGGGUUGAAGCAUGACCGUAAGGACAUGUGGACAGUAUGGGAGUGAGAAUGUUGGCAUGAGUAGCGAGAUGUGGGUGAGAAUCCCACAGGCCGUAAACCCAAGGUUUCCAGGGGAAGGUUCGUCCGCCCUGGGUUAGUCGGGACCUAAGCUGAGGCCGAAAGGCGUAGGUGAUGGACAACAGGUUGAUAUUCCUGUACUACCGAUAACCGUUUGAGAGAAGGGAUGACACAGUAGGAUAAGCUAAGCACACUGUUGGUUAUGUGUGCCCAAGCAUUGAGGCAGUCAAAGUAGGCAAAUCCGCUUUGAUAAUGCUGGGAUGUGAUGGGGAGCGAAAUUUAGUAGCGAAGUAGCUGAUUUCACACUGUCAAGAAAAGUCUCUAUCGAGGUUAAAGGUACCCGUACCGCAAACCGACACAGGUGGGUGAGGAGAGUAUCCUAAGGCCAGCGAGAGAACUGUUGUUAAGGAACUCGGCAAAAUGACCCCGUAACUUAGGGAUAAGGGGUGCCACCAUCAGGUGGCCGCAGAGAAUAGGCCCAAGCGACUGUUUACCAAAAACAUAGGUUUCUGCUAAGUCGCAAGACGAUGUAUAGGAGCUGACGCCUGCCCGGUGCUGGAAGGUUAAGGGGAUCUGUUAGAGCAAUCGAAGCAGUGAACUUAAGCCCCAGUAAACGGCGGCCGUAACUAUAACGGUCCUAAGGUAGCGAAAUUCCUUGUCGGGUAAGUUCCGACCCGCACGAAAGGCGUAACGAUUUGGGCACUGUCUCAACAACAGACUCGGUGAAAUUGUAAUUCCGGUGAAGAUGCCGGAUACCUGCGACAGGACGGAAAGACCCCAUGGAGCUUUACUGUAGCUUGACAUUGGGUCUUGGUACUACAUGUACAGGAUAGGUGGGAGGCUUUGAAACCAGGACGCCAGUUUUGGCGGAGCCAUCCUUGGGAUACCACCCUUGUAGUACUGGGACUCUAACCAUAGGCCAUGAAUCUGGUCUUGGGACACUGUCAGGCGGGCAGUUUGACUGGGGCGGUCGCCUCCCAAAAGGUAACGGAGGCGCUCAAAGGUUCUCUCAGUACGGUCGGAAAUCGUACGUAGAGUGUAAAGGCAAAAGAGAGCUUGAUUGCAAGACAUACAGGUCGAGCAAGGAUGAAAAUCGGACUUAGUGAUCCGGUGGUUCUGCGUGGAAGGGCCAUCGCUCAACGGAUAAAAGCUACCCUGGGGAUAACAGGCUUAUCUCCCCCAAGAGUCCACAUCGACGGGGAGGUUUGGCACCUCGAUGUCGGCUCAUCACAUCCUGGGGCUGUAGUAGGUCCCAAGGGUUGGGCUGUUCGCCCAUUAAAGUGGUACGCGAGCUGGGUUCAGAACGUCGUGAGACAGUUCGGUCCCUAUCCGUCGCAGGCGUAGGAAAUUUGAGAAGACCUGUCCUUAGUACGAGAGGACCGGGAUGGACGUACCUCUGGUGUACCAGUUGUUCUGCCAAGGGCAUGGCUGGGUAGCUAUGUACGGAAUGGAUAAGCGCUGAAAGCAUCUAAGCGCGAAGCCAACUUCAAGAUAAGAUUUCCCACCGCAAGGGUAAGACCCCAGAAAGACUAUCUGGUUGA